AGCGAACGCUGGCGGCGUGCUUAACACAUGCAAGUCGAACGUGAAAGGGGGCAACCCCGAGUAAAGUGGCGUACGGGUGAGUAACGCGUAGGUAAUCUACCCUGGAGUCUGGAAUAACCUGCCGAAAGGCGGGCUAAUACUGGAUAGAGCGACGGAACUCGUAAGGAGUUUUUCGGGAAAGGGAGCCCGCAAGGGCCCACGCUCUAGGAUGACCCUGCGUCCCAUUUGCUAGUUGGUGAGGUAACGGCUCAACAAGGCGGUGAUGGGUAGCUGGUCUGAGAGGAUGAUCAGCCACACUGGAACUGAAACACGGUCCAGACUCCUACGGGAGGCAGCAGUGGGGAAUCUUGCGCAAUGGACGGAAGUCUGACGCAGCCACGCCGCGUGAGUGAAGAAGGCCUUCGGGUUGUAAAGCUCUGUCGCCCGGGACGAACAGCUUGUGGGUGAAUAGCCCAUGAGUCUGACGGUACUGGGAAAGGAAGCACCGGCUAACUCCGUGCCAGCAGCCGCCGUAA
Molecule: ribosomal RNA, 515 nt
Filed under: uncultured bacterium
Lineage: Bacteria
Description: partial 16S ribosomal RNA
Rfam family: Bacterial small subunit ribosomal RNA
Source: RNAcentral